GGGUGGCUCAGUCGGUUGAGCACCUGACUUUGGCUCAGGUCAUGAUCUCAUAAUUUGUGGGUUUAAGCCCCACGUCCA
Molecule: transfer RNA, 78 nt
Filed under: Felis catus (domestic cat)
Lineage: Eukaryota; Metazoa; Chordata; Mammalia; Carnivora; Felidae
Rfam family: tRNA (bases 4-73)
About the family: Transfer RNA (tRNA) molecules are approximately 80 nucleotides in length.
Source: Rfam by way of RNAcentral